Molecule: ribosomal RNA, 988 nt
Filed under: Staphylococcus warneri
Lineage: Bacteria; Bacillati; Bacillota; Bacilli; Caryophanales; Staphylococcaceae
Description: bacterial SSU rRNA
Rfam family: Bacterial small subunit ribosomal RNA
Source: RNAcentral
GUCGAGCGAACAGAUAAGGAGCUUGCUCCUUUGACGUUAGCGGCGGACGGGUGAGUAACACGUGGAUAACCUACCUAUAAGACUGGGAUAACUUCGGGAAACCGGAGCUAAUACCGGAUAACAUAUUGAACCGCAUGGUUCAAUAGUGAAAGGCGGCUUUGCUGUCACUUAUAGAUGGAUCCGCGCCGUAUUAGCUAGUUGGUAAGGUAACGGCUUACCAAGGCAACGAUACGUAGCCGACCUGAGAGGGUGAUCGGCCACACUGGAACUGAGACACGGUCCAGACUCCUACGGGAGGCAGCAGUAGGGAAUCUUCCGCAAUGGGCGAAAGCCUGACGGAGCAACGCCGCGUGAGUGAUGAAGGUCUUCGGAUCGUAAAACUCUGUUAUCAGGGAAGAACAAAUGUGUAAGUAACUGUGCACAUCUUGACGGUACCUGAUCAGAAAGCCACGGCUAACUACGUGCCAGCAGCCGCGGUAAUACGUAGGUGGCAAGCGUUAUCCGGAAUUAUUGGGCGUAAAGCGCGCGUAGGCGGUUUUUUAAGUCUGAUGUGAAAGCCCACGGCUCAACCGUGGAGGGUCAUUGGAAACUGGAAAACUUGAGUGCAGAAGAGGAAAGUGGAAUUCCAUGUGUAGCGGUGAAAUGCGCAGAGAUAUGGAGGAACACCAGUGGCGAAGGCGACUUUCUGGUCUGUAACUGACGCUGAUGUGCGAAAGCGUGGGGAUCAAACAGGAUUAGAUACCCUGGUAGUCCACGCCGUAAACGAUGAGUGCUAAGUGUUAGGGGGUUUCCGCCCCUUAGUGCUGCAGCUAACGCAUUAAGCACUCCGCCUGGGGAGUACGACCGCAAGGUUGAAACUCAAAGGAAUUGACGGGGGACCCGCACAAGCGGUGGAGCAUGUGGUUUAAUUCGAAGCAACGCGAAGAANCNUUACCNNUCUUUGACAUCCUUUUGACCGCUCUAGAGAUAGNUCUUCCUCCUUUCGGGG